RNAcentral lists this unclassified non-coding RNA (352 nucleotides) under soil metagenome. RNAcentral describes it as "partial contains 5.8S ribosomal RNA, internal transcribed spacer 2, and large subunit ribosomal RNA". The stretch from base 1 to 120 matches the Rfam family "5.8S ribosomal RNA", at positions 35 to 154 of the family's 154-position model. The record is from RNAcentral.
GAUGAAGAACGUAGCGAAAUGCGAUAAGUAAUGUGAAUUGCAGAAUUCAGUGAAUCAUCGAAUCUUUGAACGCACAUUGCGCCCGCCAGUAUUCUGGCGGGCAUGCCUGUUCGAGCGUCAUUACAACCCUCAGGCCCCCGGGCCUGGCGUUGGGGAUCGGCGGAAGCCCCCUGCGGGCACAACGCCGUCCCCCAAAUACAGUGGCGGUCCCGCCGCAGCUUCCAUUGCGUAGUAGCUAACACCUCGCAACUGGAGAGCGGCGCGGCCACGCCGUAAAACACCCAACUUCUGAAUGUUGACCUCGAAUCAGGUAGGAGUACCCGCUGAACUUAAGCAUAUCAAUAAGCGGAGA